RNAcentral lists this ribosomal RNA (315 nucleotides) under uncultured bacterium. Its description in RNAcentral is "bacterial SSU rRNA". It matches the Rfam family "Bacterial small subunit ribosomal RNA", at positions 30 to 346 of the family's 1533-position model. The record is from RNAcentral.
AUUGAACGCUGGCGGCAUGCCUUACACAUGCAAGUCGAACGGCAGCACGGGAGCAAUCCUGGUGGCGAGUGGCGAACGGGUGAGUAAUAUAUCGGAACGUGCCCGGUCGUGGGGAUAACGUAGCGAAAGCUACGCUAAUACCGCAUACGAUCUAUGGAUGAAAGCGGGGGAUCGCAAGACCUCGCGCGAUUGGAGCGGCCGAUAUCAGAUUAGGUAGUUGGUGAGGUAAAGGCUCACCAAGCCGACGAUCUGUAGCUGGUCUGAGAGGACGACCAGCCACACUGGGACUGAGACACGGCCCAGACUCCUACGGGA